AAUUAAUAUUAGUGUAAAUUUAUUUUCUUCCUGGCUACGCUUUUCUUGAAAGAUGACUCUUAGGAUGUUUUUCUUUUUAACAUGUUUUGGUUUUUGCUACUUAAUAUGGAUAGAACAGUAAUUUUCCCAAGGAUUUCAGAGCCACUAAGACUUAGCUUCUAUUCAGUCUUUCAAAAUCUCUUAAGUCUUUUAGAAUUAGAUGACCUACCUAUGUUGAGGUUUAGCCAUGAGAUGUUUUAAGCUUGGAAGUUAAGGCAGAAUUAAAGAUACUUUAUGCAUUUGCCCAUACUAAUGAAAAGGAUUCCUUGAAAUGUUAGUCAGAACUUCUGUAAAAGAACCUAGAAAAAUACGUACCAUAUAAACUGUUCUUUGGAAUUUUCUACCUUUAGCUAAGUGUUAGGCGGAAAAAUACUAAAGAGAUGUUUGGUGGCUUCUUCAAAAGUGUGGUGAAAAGUGCUGAUGAAGUCCUUUUUACUGGAGUUAAGGAGGUAGAUGACUUCUUUGAGCAAGAGAAGAACUUCCUUGUUAACUAUUACAAUAGGAUCAAAGAUUCUUGUGUGAAAGCUGACAAAAUGACCAGAUCUCAUAAAAAUGUUGCCGAUGACUACAUCCACACUGCAGCCUGCUUACAUAGCCUGGCUUUAGAAGAGCCCACAGUCAUCAAAAAGUAAGUUUUUUUGGAAAAGCAUUUCCUCUAACUUAAUUGAAGAGUGCUGAGUGGUAUAACUAAAAGCAUAAAUGAGUAAAGACUACCAUGGUUUCCAUCCUGCUGUGGAGUUACAGGCUCACUAAGGCAAGUCUCCAGCACUCAUCUUACAUGUUCUCUGUACAUAAGACACUUGUAAGACAAUUGUAGGGGACUUGGGCUCUUCUACAUACAAACAAAUACGGUUAAUAUGGUCAAAGCAGUAGUUUCUGUCACACUUAAAAAGCCUGUUUGCUCUAGUUUUGGGGGUUGAGAGAGUUUAUCUGGCGAUUGGUGCUUGCCAUUUUGCCUGCCUGGUAAUGCCCUGGACCACCCUUUUGGGCUGGGAUGCAGCCCCAGGAGAUCCUGAGAACGUGUGCCUCUCUCCCUGGAUCUUGAAGAGAUUUGGUUAUGAUGGUCUGAAGAAUAAUGUAAUGACCUCAGUCUGAUACACAGCUGGUUUGAUGCACA
RNAcentral lists this long non-coding RNA (1156 nucleotides) under Aotus nancymaae (Ma's night monkey). RNAcentral's name for it is "lncRNA (ENSANAG00000038967.1)". The record is from RNAcentral. Lineage: Eukaryota; Metazoa; Chordata; Mammalia; Primates; Aotidae.